Molecule: ribosomal RNA, 346 nt
Filed under: Pseudamnicola sp. Naxos
Lineage: Eukaryota; Metazoa; Mollusca; Gastropoda; Littorinimorpha; Hydrobiidae
Description: partial 16S ribosomal RNA
Rfam family: Bacterial large subunit ribosomal RNA
Source: RNAcentral
CUCUUAUAGAUUUUAUAGAAUUUGGUUUUUAGGUGAAGAAACCUAAAUAUAAUUAAAAGACAAGAAGACCCUAUCGAGCUUAAAAUAAUUUUUUUGGUAUAAUGGUAACACCUUACUCAAAAAAAGAUUUUAGUUGGGGCGACUAAGGAACAAAAAAAGCUUCCUAUAAGCUGUACUUACUAAUAAGUAUUGAUCCAAAAAAUUUGAUUAACAGAAUUAGUUACCGUAGGGAUAACAGCAUAAUCUUUUCUAAGAGUCCUUAUCGAAGAAAAGGUUUGUGACCUCGAUGUUGGACUAGGGUGCCCAGAUAGGUGCAGAAGCCUUCAAUGGUUGGUCUGUUCGACCA